Molecule: ribosomal RNA, 896 nt
Filed under: uncultured Streptomyces sp.
Lineage: Bacteria; Bacillati; Actinomycetota; Actinomycetes; Kitasatosporales; Streptomycetaceae
Description: bacterial SSU rRNA
Rfam family: Bacterial small subunit ribosomal RNA
Source: RNAcentral
AUGCAAGUCGAACGAUGAACUUCCUUCGGGAGGGGAUUAGUGGCGAACGGGUGAGUAACACGUGGGCAAUCUGCCCUUCACUCUGGGACAAGCCCUGGAAACGGGGUCUAAUACCGGAUAACACUGCGGAUCGCAUGGUCUGCGGUUGAAAGCUCCGGCGGUGAAGGAUGAGCCCGCGGCCUAUCAGCUUGUUGGUGGGGUGAUGGCCUACCAAGGCGACGACGGGUAGCCGGCCUGAGAGGGCGACCGGCCACACUGGGACUGAGACACGGCCCAGACUCCUACGGGAGGCAGCAGUGGGGAAUAUUGCACAAUGGGCGAAAGCCUGAUGCAGCGACGCCGCGUGAGGGAUGACGGCCUUCGGGUUGUAAACCUCUUUCAGCAGGGAAGAAGCGAAAGUGACGGUACCUGCAGAAGAAGCGCCGGCUAACUACGUGCCAGCAGCCGCGGUAAUACGUAGGGCGCAAGCGUUGUCCGGAAUUAUUGGGCGUAAAGAGCUCGUAGGCGGCUUGUCACGUCGGAUGUGAAAGCCCGGGGCUUAACCCCGGGUCUGCAUUCGAUACGGGCAGGCUAGAGUGUGGUAGGGGAGAUCGGAAUUCCUGGUGUAGCGGUGAAAUGCGCAGAUAUCAGGAGGAACACCGGUGGCGAAGGCGGAUCUCUGGGCCAUUACUGACGCUGAGGAGCGAAAGCGUGGGGAGCGAACAGGAUUAGAUACCCUGGUAGUCCACGCCGUAAACGUUGGGAACUAGGUGUUGGCGACAUUCCACGUCGUCGGUGCCGCAGCUAACGCAUUAAGUUCCCCGCCUGGGGAGUACGGCCGCAAGGCUAAAACUCAAAGGAAUUGACGGGGCCCGCACAAGCAGCGGAGCAUGUGGCUUAAUUCGACGCAACGCGAA